RNAcentral lists this ribosomal RNA (508 nucleotides) under uncultured bacterium. Its description in RNAcentral is "partial 16S ribosomal RNA". It matches the Rfam family "Bacterial small subunit ribosomal RNA", at positions 30 to 523 of the family's 1533-position model. The record is from RNAcentral.
UUUGAACGCUGGCGGCAUGCCUUACACAUGCAAGUCGAACGGCAGCGGGGGAGAAGCUUGCUUUUCCUGCCGGCGAGUGGCGAACGGGUGAGUAAUACAUCGGAACGUGCCCUGUAGUGGGGGAUAACUAGUCGAAAGAUUAGCUAAUACCGCAUACGACCUGAGGGUGAAAGUGGGGGACAGCAAGUCCUCAUGCUAUAGGAGCGGCCGAUGUCGGAUUAGCUAGUUGGUGGGGUAAAGGCCUAGCAAGGCGAAGAUCAGUAGCUGGUCUGAGAGGACGAUGAGUCACACUGGGACUGAGACACGGCCCAGACUCCUACGGGAGGCAGCAGUGGGGAAUUUUGGACAAUGGGCGAAAGCCUGAUCCAGCAAUGCCGCGUGUGUGAAGAAGGCCUUCGGGUUGUAAAGCACUUUUGUCCGGAAAGAAAUGGCUCUGGUUAAUACCUGGGGUCGAUGACGGUACCGGAAGAAUAAGGACCGGCUAACUACGUGCCAGCAGCCGCAGUAA